This 75-nucleotide transfer RNA is filed under the name Mycolicibacterium fortuitum. Its description in RNAcentral is "tRNA-Pro(tgg)". It matches the Rfam family "tRNA". Rfam says of the family: Transfer RNA (tRNA) molecules are approximately 80 nucleotides in length. Their secondary structure includes four short double-helical elements and three loops (D, anti-codon, and T loops). Lineage: Bacteria; Bacillati; Actinomycetota; Actinomycetes; Mycobacteriales; Mycobacteriaceae. RNAcentral also lists the same sequence under 37 other names. The record is from RNAcentral.
CGGGGUGUAGCGCAGCUUGGUAGCGCAUCCGCUUUGGGAGCGGAAGGCCGCAGGUUCAAAUCCUGUCACCCCGAC